Molecule: RNA transcript, 4007 nt
Organism: Balaenoptera musculus (blue whale)
Lineage: Eukaryota; Metazoa; Chordata; Mammalia; Artiodactyla; Balaenopteridae
Gene: ZRANB2
Gene name: zinc finger RANBP2-type containing 2
Exons: 10
Source: RefSeq, a predicted model, not a curated record
GAGUCAGGCAGCGUGGGGACAGCCGCGGAGUGCCAAAAGUCCCCGGCCCGCUUCCUCUUGUAAAGACGCAGCUGCGGGAGGCUGUGGUGGCGGCGUCCAAGAUGUCGACGAAGAAUUUCCGAGUCAGUGACGGUGACUGGAUUUGCCCUGACAAAAAAUGUGGAAAUGUAAACUUUGCUAGAAGAACUAGCUGUAAUAGAUGUGGUCGAGAGAAAACAACUGAGGCUAAGAUGAUGAAAGCUGGAGGCACUGAAAUAGGAAAGACACUCGCAGAAAAGAGCCGAGGCUUGUUUAGUGCUAAUGACUGGCAGUGUAAAACUUGCAGUAAUGUGAAUUGGGCCAGAAGAUCAGAGUGUAACAUGUGUAAUACUCCGAAGUAUGCUAAGCUGGAAGAAAGAACAGGAUAUGGUGGUGGUUUUAAUGAAAGAGAAAAUGUUGAAUAUAUAGAAAGAGAAGAAUCUGAUGGUGAAUAUGAUGAGUUUGGACGUAAAAAGAAAAAAUACAGAGGGAAGGCAGUUGGUCCUGCAUCUAUUUUAAAGGAAGUUGAAGAUAAAGAAUCUGAGGGAGAAGAAGAGGAUGAGGAUGAAGAUCUUUCUAAAUAUAAAUUAGAUGAGGAUGAGGAUGAAGAUGAUGCUGAUCUCUCAAAAUAUAAUCUUGAUGCCAGUGAAGAAGAAGAUAGUAAUAAAAAGAAAUCUAAUAGACGAAGUCACUCAAAGUCUCGGUCUUCACAUUCACGAUCUUCAUCACGCUCAUCCUCCCCCUCCAGUUCAAGGUCUAGGUCCAGGUCCCGUUCAAGAAGUUCUUCCAGUUCGCAGUCAAGAUCUCGUUCCAGUUCCAGAGAACGUUCGAGAUCUCGUGGGUCGAAAUCAAGAUCCAGCUCCAGGUCCCACAGGGGCUCUUCUUCCCCACGAAAAAGAUCUUACUCAAGUUCAUCAUCUUCUCCUGAGAGGAACAGAAAGAGAAGUCGUUCUAGAUCUUCUUCCUCUGGUGAGCGCAAAAAAAAAAGACGAACAAGAUCACGGUCACCUGAAAGGUUGGGUUCUGUAGAAAUAAGAAUGGGUGUUCUUAAGUGUGUUUAAUAGAGUAACUGAACUUCUCAGUCAAGGAUUAGAUUUUCAUUAUCUCCUUCGUUCCCACUUCAAAUUAUUCUUUACAACUUUGAACUUCAAAAAACAGAUAAUUACUUUGUUUAUCCUUUGUGCUUUGAUCAGGUUGUUUAGAAAAGAUCAAACCACUCUCUUCACUAUUUGAUCAUUUUGUUUAAAUUUUUAUUUUCAUAUAUAAUUAUUAUAGCCAACUCUCGGUUAUUUCUGUCUCUUAAGAUUUUAAUUCAGAAGCUGUGUGUUGACGUAAUUUAGAGGUUGAUUUUUAUAAGUAUUAAUUUAUGCUAUUGAUUUUACAUUAAAUAUUAGAAACCGUAGGAUUCUAGGGCAUCUAAUAAGAAAAUUAACUAUUACAGAUCAUUGGAAAUCUGUCCUAAUUUAAAUAUGUAUAAAUGCAUUUCCACAACAAAUUAUUGUUUCGUGCCCUUUAUAAGGAAAUUGUUCUUGUAGCUAAUACAUUUUUCAUCUUUCAGUCCAAGUCCUUUUUUUUGUAGAGAAAGACCUUUACUAGAUUACUUUAUCUGUGUUGACAUUUUUAAAAGUGGGAAAGUGUGUCAUCUGUCAGCCUUUUCUGCAGCAGGCUAAUUAAUUAUUUGGAUUUAUUAUUUUUCUCUUGGUUCUGAAUGUCUACAUAGUCAUUUUAAUGGCUUCCUUAAUAAUCUUUGCAAAUUUUUAUAUCCUUUCAGCUUGUGAAAGUAAGGAUUAGAUAAAAUCUGAUUUUUGCUGUGUUCAGUGCUAGGAUUACCUCUACUUGUACAUAAUGACUGGUUUUGCAUCUUCCCAUUUUGGAGUUUAGAUGUUAAGGUUACACACAAGUAGUCUCAUUUCUGUGCAUUUGUUCCUUUGUAAGAAAAUUACUCCAUACUUCAAUGAAACUCAUUCUGUUGCUUUUUUUCCACGUCUGCAAAUUUUUAUCUUAGCCACAUAUAAUCCCCCUAGUUUGUUGUCAUCUAAACUUAAUGAACAUGUUCUCUAUUCCAUAAGCCAGGUGAUUGGUGAAAACACUAAACAACCCUGAGCCCAGGGCCAACCCCUCGGAACACCACUACUUUACCCAGGCACCACAGGUCACCUUCUGGAUCAUCCCAUUCUGGUUCCCGUUCAAGUUCAAAAAAGAAAUAAUGAAUUAAAAUUUACAUCUUAAAAAAAAAAAAAAAGUCCAGUACAGUGCAUGAAGCAUAUUUUUUAAGAAGUUGGUGUCUUACUUGGUCAGAAGUGCUAAAUCUGCUAGUAGAGGUGCAUGCCUUUCAUUGCUUUUCAGAACAAUACAGCUGUGUUUAUUUGUGAAAUUAAAAGUAAAUGGUAUUUUAAGCCAUAAUGUCCCAAAAUAGAUGCUUUGUUUAUCAUUCAUUAUUUACAACCAUUUGCUUCAUUUAAAACCAUCUCAGCUAUAACAAAGUACUUUGUUUUUUAAUUUGAACUCUUGGUUUUCUCAUCUCCAAAUAUGAGCAUUACCUAGGCUUGUCUGGACUUUGGGCAUGGAAGCAAGACUGUGGUAAAGUAGUUGGAAACAAUCUGUUUAUGUUAAUCCGGGAAAAGGAGUCAACCUGUUUAUGUUAACCUAUGUGAUUCUUAUUAACUAGUUGUAAAACAGUCAACUGGAAACUUCUUUAUUUUGAAAUUCCCUAUGUUAAGGGUGCCUUAGAAUCAUUGUUUCUCUUUUAUCCAGUUUUACUUUUUGCACCACCAAGUUUAAUUUUGUGAAUUGGAGAGGAGAAAGGUGUUAUUUAUUUCUCCUUUUCUGACACGUAAUUUUGAGCAAGAAUGCCAAACAGUUCAUCUCUUCUCUACUAAUAUGGUUGAUGAGAAAAACAUCUUAGUUUAAAAUGUUUAAUAUUUUUAGGAGCUUUGUGUGAUAUCCUUUAAAAAUCUAGUUAUCACAUUAUAGGCUAGACAGAGUUAAAUCAUAGUUAAUGAGGAACAGAUUGAAGAAAGUUUUUGAAGUAUAUUUCUCUUUGGGUGAAAGACCAACAGACAUUGUGAAUUUAAGUGAACAUUUGCUUUGCGAUGUUUAACUUUAAACACAUUGCAUAAAAUUUUCUUCUGAGUAACAAAUGAAUGCUUAUUUCCUCAUGACAUAAGCAGAAAUAAUUGUUCCUAUUCACUUGAAAUUACUUAUGGCUUAAAAUACUUUCAAGGUUUUUUUCUCAAAAUUAAAAUCUGGUCAUUUGAGCUCUGUUCUGUCUUCUGGUUUUAAAAAUGGUUUCUCUUAACAGUAUCUUCAGUGACAAUGCAAGGUAAGUAUAUUAAGGGAAGUUGACAGUUGUGCUUGGGAACUUUUGUCAUGGGGAUCAGUAUCCACAUUUUUUGUUUUGGGCGGGGGGGUUGUUUGUGUUUCCUUAAUAUUAAUGUUUACUACAACUAAAAAUUAAAAUGUUUUAAGGUACUUAGUAGACAGACCAAAAUUAUAUUUGUUUUUAUUUUAAAAUGAGUGCUUUUUCUCUUCAACUCAUCUAAAGAUGAAAGUGAAAUAGCUUAUGUAGAAAUAUUUUGAUAAUAUUUUUACAAUGAACUUCCCCUGCUUUUUUUAUGUCUUAAAAUUUUCUUUGCUACAUUUACUGUAGGUUGCACAAGAACUUUUACUCUCUUGUAAUUGUGCCUCAGACUUCUUGAAAGUCCACCUUCUAAAUUGCCCAGAUGAUCUUCUAGAUUCUACAUGUUGUCGUUGGUUUAUUCUUGUGCUUUCUGUAUUUAAAUCUUUGGCUGUACUAAUAAGUAAAUGCAAGGUUAUAAAUUUAGCUAAUAGUAGUUUACAGACAGUUCAAAUGAUUAUGAUUUUAUUUGGUUUAAGCUGUACUAGUUCAUUUCGUAAGGAAAUGAUGCUGUAGACAAAUGUAAAUAAAGCUUGUGAGUCGAGCAUCAAGUGGUGUUUGUUAGAAAUAAAUUAGAAUUUUUAAGCUCUGA